Frankia sp. is the source of this 167-nucleotide non-coding RNA. The record is from Rfam. NCBI's taxonomy places the organism in Bacteria, Bacillati, Actinomycetota, Actinomycetes, Frankiales, Frankiaceae.
GAUACCCCUCCGACGCAGCCGGGGCAGGAGCGGGGGAACCACGUUCCACCGGGCGCCGCAUCCCUCCGGCGGCGCCCUUGGGGUGAAGCCGGGCGUGUUCGACACGGCCGGCCGGGCUCCCAGCCCGAACCCGACAGCUCACCUCGCAGGCGUCUGGGAAAGGUUUC